GUUGUCGUGGCCGAGUGGUUAAGGCGAUGGAUUUGAAAUCCUUUGGGGUUUCCCCGGGCAGGUUCAAGUCCUGCCGACAACG
This is a non-coding RNA of Danionella cerebrum, 82 nucleotides long. The record is from the annotation of a GenBank genome assembly. Lineage: Eukaryota; Metazoa; Chordata; Actinopteri; Cypriniformes; Danionidae.